GACGAACCGUGCGAACGUUGUUCGGAAUCACUGGGCUUAAAGGGCGCGUAGGCGGACCGCAAAGUCAGAGGUGAAAUCCUCCAGCUUAACUGGAGAACUGCCUUUGAUACUGGCGGUCUGGAGUAGGGUAGGGGCAUGCGGAACUGAUGGUGGAGCGGUGAAAUGUGUUGAUAUCAUCAGGAACUCCGGUGGCGAAAGCGGCGUGCUGGACCCUUACUGACGCUGAGGCGCGAAAGCCAGGGGAGCAAACGGG
Molecule: ribosomal RNA, 253 nt
Filed under: uncultured bacterium
Lineage: Bacteria
Description: partial 16S ribosomal RNA
Rfam family: Bacterial small subunit ribosomal RNA
Source: RNAcentral